AAUCUCAAGCAAAUGGCUACAUGACUUCCUUAAUGCAUUCACAGACUAUGUAACCAUUAAACACUCAAACAUCCAAACUUAAAACAUAUGUUCCUGUGCAUCUGUUAGAGUUGUGUGUGAUCCUGGGAUGGAUCCUUUACGGACCUCAACGGCUGCCAGAAUCUGAAGCUUGUGCGCAUUUACAUUGCCCUCCAGCAGAGCCCACCGCCAUCAUAAUUAUUCAAGCAAAGAUAUUGGUUCUUUCAGUCUUCAGGUCUGUGGAAUUCUUCCAGGAUUCCAGACUGCCAGAUUUAAUUGAGUGACUUCAUACAACACAAGUGCUUGAAAAACAACAGGUGGAUAUCAGCUCUGGCCCUUAUACCGACCUUCUUUCAAGCUAGAACAACUGAUGUUUUUAGUGGUCAUUAAAUGACUCAGUAUGUUCUUUUAUUAUUCUCUCUAUACUCUCUCUCCAUUCACAUUUCCAUAUGGUACGCUGAGGCCUUAAGUAGUUCUGUUUGUUGAUUAAACGUACAGUAUAUAAGGUGAAGUGAGGUACCAUACUUAAUUAAUAACUGAUCUCAUGAAUUUAUCAAUUUUGUGACGGCAAAGUGAAAUAUGACUGAUUAUUAAUUUGAACCGUAAAAUACAUUAUGGAUGAGCAAGGCUUUUCGGUAACAGUGCUAAGAAUACUGGGAAUAGAAUACUAUUAGAGGAUGAGAAUUCCAUAUCAUAUUGUGGGGUCCUGGAAUGUGGAGCUGGCGCUUCGGUUUUCUCCUGAGC
This is a long non-coding RNA of Clupea harengus (Atlantic herring), 762 nucleotides long. Lineage: Eukaryota; Metazoa; Chordata; Actinopteri; Clupeiformes; Clupeidae. The record is from Ensembl.